UCCAUCUUUCUGAGCCAGAGCAGGAAUUUAUGGGGGUACCAGGCUGCUGUUCGUAAAGCGCUGCUAUGCACACUGUGUUAGAAGGCUCUGGGUUGGAAGACAGCCAGUGUCUUUUGCAAAAGUUAAAUGGAUUUUGGGUUAGAGGCUUAGGAACGGGAUGAUAUUGCAAAAGAAAGGAGAACUGGACAGGAUUGCCUGAGAAUAGGGUGGCUGUGGUCGCUAUUAAGGGGAGGGGAACACCCCCACCCCCCCAACUUUAGCCUGUUAAACAGUAGCUACUUUGCUGUUUAUUGUUUUCAUAAACCAUAACCAAUUUGGUUUUUAUCACUGUAGGAGGUUCUUGCCACCACCUUCAUCCCUGGCACACUUGAGUCCUCCUCUUCUUUCCUGGCUGGAGACUUCUGCUUCAUCAGUUGUGGUGAAUCAACUCUCUGUAUAUGGCUACGGAGCCAAACGCUCUGUUAAAGGGAGCAAAAAUAACACUACAUGUAUUUACCCCUGGUUUUUAUUAUUUCAAAUUAAUUACAGGGAUGUUUAUGAGGCAGGGUUGCUGACCGCACAAAUAUAGGUUGUUCGUAAUACAUAUAGUCUGGGAGAAACUAUAAUUGCUAUGCUAAAUAUAAUUUAUUCUGUGGUUCCAUUCAGCUGUAUAUUUAAUUUUAUUUUUCCAUUCGUCUUCUAGGGCACUAGUAAACAUUCUUCCAAGCAGGGAUAGUAAUGAUGAGACAGUAAUUGUCUGAGUAAAUUAUCCAAGCGGCCUUUCUGUCUUGUUUUGGUUUUUUUUGGUUUGGGUUUUUUUUUCACUUCCUACAUUUCUGGUGUCCUCUGGCAUCAGAACAGAAGUAUAUGUUAGACCUAGGCUAUGUAAAUGAAAAGUUCUGUCUACGUUACAAUUAAGAACAUGUCAAGUCACAUGGUUUCCACUUGACCAGCUACAGCAGUGUUGUUUUGCAAGUAAGGUUUUAACUGUGUUGCAAGUGUGAAGUCCUGAACUGACCAAAUCUGUAGUAACUGGGUCACCUGCCGCAGUGGUUUUUGUGACAUAGGUCCUGGGAAUAUUUGCAGAAGGAAGAAUGCUGUAAUUGCAUAGCUGUACCAGUAUUUAUGUUGACACUGAAGCUUCAAGACGCAUAUUCAGGAAGCAGGAACAAUACCAUGUGUAACUAGGGUUUACAUCUUAAUGGGCUUUUUGCACCCUGAGAGCAUUGACAUUGCCCACUGUUGGAGGAAGAGAAUUGGCAGCUGCAGCGUACGGAGCUGCGGGACCCCAGGAAGAGAUGGCUGUACCGCUGGGUGGCUCGCUGUGACACCAGCCAACAGUUCCUGGCCUGUGGAGCUGGUGGCUACGUGCGUGACGGAAUUAUUUAUGCAGGUUUCCUUUCAGUGGAAGCUCUUUGAGAAGGCGCAGUGAGUGAUCUUUGGCUACUGCUCUUGGAGAUGAGAGCUCAACUCCCCGCAGAGACUAACGCCCUCUGCUUUGUGCACGGCGCUCUCUGCACUCUUGCACCGGAGGAAGCACGCCAGUACGAGGAGGAGUUGGAUGCAGGCAUAGUGGCAUUUACUGGGAAGGUUACUUUUAAGCAAGCUCCCAUGUGGCCAAAGCAGUGCUUGCAGCAGCAUUGGAACACAUGAGUUGCAUACAGGUAAGGAGAGAAGGAGGGGAGACUGCCUUUUUCUGACACCACCGCAGCCUAAAGCGCUCCUGGAACUGUCAUUUCAUUGUGCUCGCCACUUUCGUAUAAGGAGCAAUUCAUCCGCUGAAGAAAUUGCAUCAUGAGUGAAUAAAGUUGAAGUGUGGGAGCAAGGAAAUCUCUCCUCUGAUUUCUGCCGGGGAAAUUGAGGCUCAGAGAAUUAAAUGACUUGCCUAAGAGUAGAAAGGCUGACUUGCCAAGAGCCAAAUUCCAGCCUCCUGAAUCAUAGCCUUGUGCCUUAUCCACCAGACCAACCUUUCUCUGUUAGCACUUCCUUUCUCUCCACCCUGUUUUGAGAGGAGGCACAGCAGCCCUGUUCUAUGUCAAACAAACUCCAAGCGUGACACAGGAAGGCUUCCAGCAGAACGGCUUGAACAACCUUUGAGUUUAUCGUUAAUCUGGAAGCCAUGACUUUUCUGGGAAUGGUUCCUGCAU
Falco peregrinus (peregrine falcon) is the source of this 2126-nucleotide long non-coding RNA. RefSeq lists it as uncharacterized. The transcript is spliced from 4 exons. NCBI's taxonomy places the organism in Eukaryota, Metazoa, Chordata, Aves, Falconiformes, Falconidae. The record is from RefSeq and is a predicted model, not a curated record.